RNAcentral lists this ribosomal RNA (292 nucleotides) under uncultured bacterium. Its description in RNAcentral is "partial 16S ribosomal RNA". The record is from RNAcentral.
GGACUACUGGGGUUUCUAAUCCUGUUUGCUCCCCACGCUUUCGUGCAACAGCGUCAAUAACUUGCCAGACAGUCGCUUUCGCCACUGGUAUUCCUCCUAAUAUCUACGGAUUUCACCCCUACACUAGGAAUUCUACUGUCCCCUCAAGUAUUCUAGUCGAGCAGUAUUAAAAGCAGUUCUGAGGUUGAGCCUCAGGAUUUCACUUCUAACUUACAAGACCGCCUACGCACGCUUUACGCCCAAUGAUUCCGAGUAACGCUAGCUCCCUUCGUAUUACCGCGGCUGCUGGCAC